CCUACGGGUGGCUGCAGUGGGGAAUAUUGCACAAUGGGCGCAAGCCUGAUGCAGCCAUGCCGCGUGUGUGAAGAAGGCCUUCGGGUUGUAAAGCACUUUCAGCGGGGAGGAAGGCGGUGAGGUUAAUAACCUCAUCGAUUGACGUUACCCGCAGAAGAAGCACCGGCUAACUCCGUGCCAGCAGCCGCGGUAAUACGGAGGGUGCAAGCGUUAAUCGGAAUUACUGGGCGUAAAGCGCACGCAGGCGGUCUGUCAAGUCGGAUGUGAAAUCCCCGGGCUCAACCUGGGAACUGCAUUCGAAACUGGCAGGCUAGAGUCUUGUAGAGGGGGGUAGAAUUCCAGGUGUAGCGGUGAAAUGCGUAGAGAUCUGGAGGAAUACCGGUGGCGAAGGCGGCCACCUGGACAAAGACUGACGCUCAGGUGCGAAAGCGUGGGGAGCAAACAGGAUUAGAUACCCCUGUAGUC
Molecule: ribosomal RNA, 465 nt
Filed under: uncultured Klebsiella sp.
Lineage: Bacteria; Pseudomonadati; Pseudomonadota; Gammaproteobacteria; Enterobacterales; Enterobacteriaceae
Description: bacterial SSU rRNA
Rfam family: Bacterial small subunit ribosomal RNA
Source: RNAcentral